UGGAAAUAAUCAUGUGUUCUAGGCCUAACGUUAAUUAUAAUUAAUGAACAUUAUUUUUAUCUUGAAUUCUUAAUAUAAAAUUUGCAUAGAUUAUUAGGUUUAUGUGCUAUUUUGAAUGUUCCCCAAGCUUAUGUUUUUGUAAAAAGUAUUUGUGCCUUAAUUGAAGAUUUCUAUAUGAAUCAUUGUUUACCUAUAUGUAGCAAACUAGCGACAGCAUAUUUUAUAUUUUUGUCCUCCAUUUUUUUUUUUUUAAAUGCUAUCACGGUUUAAUUUCUAUAUUAUCAAAUUAUUUUCUUUUUUUUUUUUUUUUGUCAGGCGGAGAAUGUUUUUGGGGAGUUUAUUUUCCGUGAGCUUAGUGCGGCUGCUGGUGCUGUCACAAUCACUUGUCUCAUGGUGGCUAACCUUGUUGGCUAUGUUAUUGGACCAUCAGGCCUUAAUUGGUUGAUUUCUCGAUUUCACCGGGAAGAAGGUUUACAGCUCUUAUAUACCACUUUUAUUCUCUUAGCCACAUGCCACUGUUGGUUAUGUUGGCGUGAGUUGUUAACAGAGGAUCUUGUGGAGAGAUUAUAGGGAUUUUAUGUAUUUAUUUGGUUUCCACUGAUUAUGUAUUUCCAAUAAUUCUAGCCUACAUUUGUGUACCUUCUAAGAAUAGAUUCUUCUGUACAUACUUUAUAAGCAUACUCUUGUAUUAUGGAAAUUAUGAAUUUGAAUAGAAUUUGAUAUCUUUUCAUCAUGGUAUCAGAGCGUGGUUUAAAAAAAAAAACAAAAAAAAAAAAAAAACCAUUUGAUUCAUUGUUUUUCUCAAAAAUCAAAACCCAUAUAUCUAUCACCUCUCUGUAAUCAACAGAACUUGCCAUCUCUUUGCAAAUCACAAAAUUUAGAAACCGGAUUUCCAGUUACCAGCCCACAAGAUUCCAUUCUACCGCUGCCAUACACCGAGGAUCCACCGCCAGAAAAGGAGCCACCAAGCCCGCUGUCCUCGUGAAAUAUUUGAAUACCCAGAUCCGCCGCCGCGAAAUCCAGAUUCGCCAACGACGAGUGAAACAAACGAUGCCCCAGGACUCGUCGUCGUCAUCACUCGUCACCGACGAGACCGAGUCGAUGUCGCUGUAGUCAUCGACGCCCACUACGUGAACCAUCCCCGGAUCUGUCACGCCGUCGCCCUUCCUCGCCGUGCCGAACAGCAACCAAAAACCCAAACCAGUCGCCGAUCUGAGGACGACCCGCCACCGCUGCACCAUCACCGGUCGCCUUCCACGACCGGAGCUCAUGGCCGAGCUCUACAGCCGGUUCGUCUUCUUUUUGCCGAGUCCUGCUAUCCACGGUAGAUUCUAGGACUGUGGAUUAAGAAAAAAAAAAAAAAAAAAAAAAUUGAGAUCAAUGACAGAACGUACUCCCUUAAUAGAGAGUUCCCAAGGCGAGAAUCCAAUUCUUGCGGACUUGACCUCCAGAAUAUCACAAAUGUUGAACCAGACACCAACCUCACUGAGUCACGAAUCUGUUGCUGCACCAAUUGGCAUCAAGUUGGAC
Long non-coding RNA from Cornus florida, 1530 nucleotides. RefSeq lists it as uncharacterized. NCBI's taxonomy places the organism in Eukaryota, Viridiplantae, Streptophyta, Magnoliopsida, Cornales, Cornaceae. The record is from RefSeq and is a predicted model, not a curated record. The transcript has 2 exons.